AGAAAGCCCACAGAGGUAUUCAGACAGGAGAAGGAACAUACGUCCAACUCCAGUGACUUUGGGCUUGGCCUUGUGACUUGUUUUGACCAACAAAGUAUGAGCAGACUUGACUCAAGCCACCUUCCAGGGGAGGCAUAAGCUGUGCUUGCAUGCUUCGGCUCUACCUCUCAUGUUCUGCCCACUCUCAUGAGAACAGCAUGACACAGAUGAAAGAUGCUCCUUCAGUCUGAAACCUGAAGAGAGAAGCUACAUAGAGCUAAGCCCAGCUGAGCCCAGCCCAGCCAAUACAGUGCAUUGACCUGCAGCUAUCUUACAAUAUGAGUCGGAAAUAGACAUUUGUUCUUGUAAGCUCUUGAGAUAAUAUGGUUGUUUGUUACCACAGCAAAAGCUAAUAAACCACCGUUAGAAAACAGAUAAAGUGUUUUAAAUUUUUAGAAUAUUUGGAAAUGAUGCUAAGUUUGUGAAGUUCCUUAAGGUAUGCAAAUGAAAAAUAAUUUACCUUAAUCAUUGUCAUAAACCUGAAUCAAAGUUUGAAAUAAAAAUCAUGCCUACUAGCCCUUACUUAAGUGAUUUAUAGACAAUGUAAAUCUUUGUAAACUACCUCAAAUAAUGUGAUAAACAAGAUAUAAAGCAGGCUUUCUUUUCAUUUGUCUCUGUGGGUUCUUUAACAGCUAUACAGCCAUACUCCCUGUACUUGGAUUUACCAUGGAAAACAUUUUCCCUCUCCGUUAUUGUUGGCAAAAGCUGCAUCUUUCUGGUCUGUUCAGUACUCGACAAUUUGUACUGCCAAUUAUGCUAUUACAAUGUCUCUUAAGGUUUCCUCCACUGCUCCUUUAUUCUUGGUACCUCCUUUGUGAUUUCAGAGUCGUUUUAUGGAAUUGUAAUGUGGCUCUUGACAUAUAAUUGAAGCAUGUUAAAUUACCCUGGCUUAAAUAAACAACUUACC
This 946-nucleotide long non-coding RNA is filed under the name Homo sapiens (human). RNAcentral describes it as "HSALNT0030608". The record is from RNAcentral. Lineage: Eukaryota; Metazoa; Chordata; Mammalia; Primates; Hominidae.